GUUAGUGCAUGAACCCUGCAACUUUAACUGUACAAUCCCAUCUUCAAAGCCUUUAUAUAUGACAUCACCUCCAUCCUCCUGAACUGUUGGCCUGAGGAAACAGAAUAUUUAUUAUAAUAGAAAAUAUUACUACAGAACUGAAAAAGUGCUGUGCAUCUACAACAAUAGUUCAUGUCAAGGGAAACCGUGACGUUCGGAGGCUCUGAAAAUCAGAUUCAAGAGACAAUAUCCUCAGAAGCCAUAAGUAGAACAACAGUGUGCCUUCACAGCAUUAUGCAUUAUCAAAAAGGAAGACGUAUCACAGAAAAUAAUUGUAAAAACUGAACACACAGCCUGGUAAGGAGUGUUUGUGACAUUUUGGUGUGGACAAGAAAUUGCAGUAAUCUGGAAACCUGCAUAGCCUUUCAGAGCAAGCACAGAAUUCUUUUUAAUCACCCAAACUAUCUUAUCUGAAUGGACAGCUCAACCAGUUUAACUAAGCUGGCUCUGAUAACGUGCUUAUUGACUUUCAGCAAACAUUUUGUAUUAACAGUUGAUAUUAAAAUCAUUUAUAAAAGUUGGUAAAAAUAUACCCAACAUUUAUGAAAAAAGUAUUUAGUUGUUUACUCAGAUAGUAUUAUUUUAAUAGGAUU
This is a long non-coding RNA of Mauremys reevesii (Reeves's turtle), 632 nucleotides long. RefSeq lists it as uncharacterized. The transcript is spliced from 3 exons. NCBI's taxonomy places the organism in Eukaryota, Metazoa, Chordata, Testudines, Geoemydidae. The record is from RefSeq and is a predicted model, not a curated record.